Molecule: ribosomal RNA, 1366 nt
Filed under: Cytophaga sp. GRTF4
Lineage: Bacteria; Pseudomonadati; Bacteroidota; Cytophagia; Cytophagales; Cytophagaceae
Description: 16S ribosomal RNA
Rfam family: Bacterial small subunit ribosomal RNA
Source: RNAcentral
GUCGAGGGGUAGAAGCUUUCGGGCUUUGAGACCGGCGCACGGGUGCGUAACGCGUAUGCAAUCUGCCUUGUACUGAGGGAUAGCCCAGAGAAAUUUGGAUUAACACCUCAUAGCAUUUUAGUGUGGCAUCACAUUAUUAUUAAAGGUUACGGUACAAGAUGAGCAUGCGUCCCAUUAGCUAGUUGGUAUGGUAACGGCAUACCAAGGCUACGAUGGGUAGGGGUCCUGAGAGGGAGAUCCCCCACACUGGUACUGAGACACGGACCAGACUCCUACGGGAGGCAGCAGUGAGGAAUAUUGGUCAAUGGGCGAGAGCCUGAACCAGCCAUGCCGCGUGCAGGAUGAAGCAUCUAUGGUGUGUAAACUGCUUUUGUACGGGAAGAAACACUCCCUCGUGAGGGAGCUUGACGGUACCGUAAGAAUAAGGAUCGGCUAACUCCGUGCCAGCAGCCGCGGUAAUACGGAGGAUCCAAGCGUUAUCCGGAAUCAUUGGGUUUAAAGGGUCCGUAGGCGGUUUUAUAAGUCAGUGGUGAAAUCCGGCAGCUCAACUGUCGAAUUGCCAUUGAUACUGUAGAACUUGAAUCAUUGUGAAGUAACUAGAAUAUGUAGUGUAGCGGUGAAAUGCUUAGAUAUUACAUGGAAUACCAAUUGCGAAGGCAGGUUACUAACAAUGUAUUGACCGCUGAUGGACGAAAGCGUGGGUAGCGAACAGGAUUAGAUACCCUGGUAGUCCACGCCGUAAACGAUGGAUACUAGCUGUUCGGAAGUAAUUCUGAGUGGCUAAGCGAAAGUGAUAAGUAUCCCACCUGGGGAGUACGGGCGCAAGCCUGAAACUCAAAGGAAUUGACGGGGGCCCGCACAAGCGGUGGAGCAUGUGGUUUAAUUCGAUGAUACGCGAGGAACCUUACCAGGGCUUAAAUGUAGUAUGACAGGUUUGGAAACAGACUUUUCUUCGGACAUAUUACAAGGUGCUGCAUGGUUGUCGUCAGCUCGUGCCGUGAGGUGUCAGGUUAAGUCCUAUAACGAGCGCAACCCCUGUUGUUAGUUGCCAGCGAGUCAUGUCGGGAACUCUAACAAGACUGCCGGUGCAAACCGUGAGGAAGGUGGGGAUGACGUCAAAUCAUCACGGCCCUUACGUCCUGGGCUACACACGUGCUACAAUGGCAGGUACAGAGAGCAGCCACUUCGCAAGGAGGAGCGAAUCUAUAAAGCCUGUCUCAGUUCGGAUUGGAGUCUGCAACCCGACUCCAUGAAGCUGGAAUCGCUAGUAAUCGGAUAUCAGCCAUGAUCCGGUGAAUACGUUCCCGGGCCUUGUACACACCGCCCGUCAAGCCAUGGAAGCUGGGGGUACCUGAAGUCGGUGACC